UACAGGGGGGGCAAGCGUGGUUCGGAAUUACUGGGCGUAAAGGGCUCGUAGGCGGCCAACUAAGUCACACGUGAAAUCCCCAGGCUUAACCUGGGAACUGCGUGUGAUACUGGAUGGCUUGAAUCCGGGAGAGGGAUGCAGAAUUCCAGGUGUAGCGGUGAAAUGCGUAGAUAUCUGGAGGAAUACCGGUGGCGAAGGCGGCAUCCUGGACCGGCAUUGACGCUGAUGAGCGACAGCUAGUGGAGCAAACGGG
RNAcentral lists this ribosomal RNA (253 nucleotides) under uncultured bacterium. RNAcentral's name for it is "partial 16S ribosomal RNA". It matches the Rfam family "Bacterial small subunit ribosomal RNA", at positions 524 to 776 of the family's 1533-position model. The record is from RNAcentral.